UCCAGGUAUAUAUAUAUAUAUUUGGGGCGACAGUCUACUAGAAGGACGUCAAGAGAGCUCAAAUCUCCUAAAUCAGGUUGCAAUUCUUCUCUGCUAAUUCGCCAUGAAGACGAUCGCGGUCGCCCUCUUCCUCCUAUCGGCGAUCUUCGCCGUGAUGGCUGUGGCUCGCGCCAUGCCGGAACCAGACCCCAACAGACGGUUCUUCUUCGGCGGAAGUCCCUACGGCUUCGGUGGCUACGGCUACAGGCCGUUCGGAUACGGCUUCGGAUACGGAGGAUACGGUGGCCUUGGAUUCGGUGGGUAUGGUGGCUACAGCGGCUUCUUUGGCUGAGGAAGUGCUGGGCACAGAGACCCAUUUUCUGCUCCUUGGCGAAACUCUGUUGUUCUUUCAGGAAACUACUAAAUCAAAGUGGAGUGAUUUUGUUGUAUAUCCAAUAAAUUGCCUUUUUAA
This is a long non-coding RNA of Macrobrachium nipponense, 451 nucleotides long. RefSeq lists it as uncharacterized. NCBI's taxonomy places the organism in Eukaryota, Metazoa, Arthropoda, Malacostraca, Decapoda, Palaemonidae. The record is from RefSeq and is a predicted model, not a curated record. The transcript is spliced from 2 exons.